GUCUUACCAAGCUGUUAAUAAUGAAGAAAUGCUCAUUAUUAAUAGCACAAUAUAAAGUAAAUGGCACUGAAUGUUAUGUUGGGGGCAGAGAAUGACACUGACAGCUUUUUCUUUAUUGUCUGCAGAGGAGAAGAAAGUAAAGAGCACUAAAGUGGAAGCAAAAGUCAAAAAGGAAGUGAAGGAUGGAAAAGGAGAAGCAAAGACGGCAGAGAAGGUCAAGCAGGCAGAGACAAAAACAACAGAAACUGGGCUAAUAAAGGCCAAAACGAAAGUUAAGGAGGAGAAAGCUCUUCAGACUGUAACUAAAUCGGACAAGAAAGGUGCAGCACAUAAGGAAUUUGCACCACCUCGUCUUCUUCUAGAACACAGUCCAAGAAAGAAACCAGCAGCUAUUGAAGGCAAGUUUGAGUUUUCCCACCUUUAUUGGCUUCUACUUAUUAACUUGACUGUU
This 451-nucleotide long non-coding RNA is filed under the name Zonotrichia albicollis (white-throated sparrow). RNAcentral describes it as "lncRNA (ENSZALG00000016148.1)". Lineage: Eukaryota; Metazoa; Chordata; Aves; Passeriformes; Passerellidae. The record is from RNAcentral.